RNAcentral lists this transfer RNA (82 nucleotides) under Verrucomicrobiota bacterium. RNAcentral describes it as "Verrucomicrobia bacterium tRNA-Tyr". It matches the Rfam family "tRNA". From Rfam's summary of the family: Transfer RNA (tRNA) molecules are approximately 80 nucleotides in length. Lineage: Bacteria; Pseudomonadati; Verrucomicrobiota. The record is from RNAcentral.
GGGUAGGUUCCAGAGCGGUCAAAUGGGGCAGACUGUAAAUCUGUUGUCUUCGACUUCGCUGGUUCGAAUCCAGCCCUACCCA